Molecule: ribosomal RNA, 253 nt
Filed under: uncultured prokaryote
Description: partial 16S ribosomal RNA
Rfam family: Bacterial small subunit ribosomal RNA
Source: RNAcentral
UACAGAGGUCCCAAGCGUUGUUCGGAUUCAUUGGGCGUAAAGGGUGCGUAGGCGGAUCGCUAAGUCAGGGGUGAAAUCCUGGAGCUCAACUCCAGAACUGCCCUUGAUACUGGCGAUCUCGAGUCCGGGAGAGGUGAGUGGAACUGCGAGUGUAGAGGUGAAAUUCGUAGAUAUUCGCAAGAACACCAGUGGCGAAGGCGGCUCACUGGCCCGGUACUGACGCUGAGGUGCGAAAGCGUGGGGAGCAAACAGG